Molecule: ribosomal RNA, 504 nt
Filed under: Triticum aestivum (bread wheat)
Lineage: Eukaryota; Viridiplantae; Streptophyta; Magnoliopsida; Poales; Poaceae
Description: partial small subunit ribosomal RNA
Source: RNAcentral
AUGGUCCUCGUCGUCGACGCCGCCGUCGGCGCCCUCGCCCCCGGGCGCGCCGCCGGACCUCUGGUACACGGCCGACACGAUGGGGUUGCACACGGCCUCCACCUCCUUGAGCUUCUCCUCGUAGUCCUCCUUCUCGGCCGUCUGGUUCUCGUCCAGCCACUCGAGCGCCUCCUUGAGGGCCUCCUCCACCUUCUCCUUCUCCUCGCUCUCCAGCUUGUCCGCCAGCUUGUCCUUGUCGCCGACGGUGUUCUUCAUGUUGUAGACAUACGUCUCCAGCUGGUUCCGGGCAUCGAUGCGCUCCUUCACCUUCUUGUCCUCCUCGGCAAACUCCUCCGCCUCCUUGACCAUCCGGUCGAUCUCCUCCUGGCUCAGGCGCCCUUUCUCGUUCGUGAUGGUGAUCUUCUCCGACUUGCCUGUGCCCUUGUCCUCCGCCUUCACGUUCAGGAUACCGUUGGCGUCAACCUCGAAGGUGACUUCGAUCUGAGGAGUGCCCCUGAAAGUUGA